UGGGGAAUAUUGGACAAUGGGCGCAAGCCUGAUCCAGCCAUGCCGCGUGAGUGAUGAAGGCCCUAGGGUUGUAAAGCUCUUUCACCGGUGAAGAUAAUGACGGUAACCGGAGAAGAAGCCCCGGCUAACUUCGUGCCAGCAGCCGCGGUAAUACGAAGGGGGCUAGCGUUGUUCGGAUUUACUGGGCGUAAAGCGCACGUAGGCGGACUUUUAAGUCAGGGGUGAAAUCCCGGGGCUCAACCCCGGAACUGCCUUUGAUACUGGAAGUCUUGAGUAUGGUAGAGGUGAGUGGAAUUCCGAGUGUAGAGGUGAAAUUCGUAGAUAUUCGGAGGAACACCAGUGGCGAAAGCGGCUCACUGGACCAUUACUGACGCUGAGGUGCGAAAGCGUGGGGAGCAAACAGG
Molecule: ribosomal RNA, 404 nt
Filed under: Actinomycetes bacterium
Lineage: Bacteria; Bacillati; Actinomycetota; Actinomycetes
Description: Actinobacteria bacterium partial 16S ribosomal RNA
Rfam family: Bacterial small subunit ribosomal RNA
Source: RNAcentral